RNAcentral lists this transfer RNA (87 nucleotides) under Gammaproteobacteria bacterium. RNAcentral describes it as "tRNA-Leu". It matches the Rfam family "tRNA". Rfam says of the family: Transfer RNA (tRNA) molecules are approximately 80 nucleotides in length. Their secondary structure includes four short double-helical elements and three loops (D, anti-codon, and T loops). Further hydrogen bonds mediate the characteristic L-shaped molecular structure. tRNAs have two regions of fundamental functional importance: the anti-codon, which is responsible for specific mRNA codon recognition, and the 3' end, to which the tRNAs corresponding amino acid is attached (by aminoacyl-tRNA synthetases). tRNAs cope with the degeneracy of the genetic code in two manners: having more than one tRNA (with a specific anti-codon) for a particular amino acid; and 'wobble' base-pairing, i.e. permitting non-standard base-pairing at the 3rd anti-codon position. The record is from RNAcentral. Lineage: Bacteria; Pseudomonadati; Pseudomonadota; Gammaproteobacteria.
GCCGACGUGGCGGAAUUGGUAGACGCGCUAGCUUGAGGGGCUAGUGGGGGAAACCUCGUGCCGGUUCGAGUCCGGCCGUCGGCACCA